AUGCUUCUCCAUUCAGUUAUUCUGCUCACAGCUUUAGCAUGUGCCAGUAGUGAAGAUACUAUUACAGCAGACAAAACAGAGGAGUUUGCUGAUGAUGGUUCAAAUGUUACUUUAUCCUGCACUUUUUCAUCUGCAUGGUCUUUACUUUGGUACCGUCAGUAUCCUGGAUCAGCUCCCGAGUUCCUUGUAAACAUUGCAGAAAGGUCUAAAAAGGUAGAGAGGUCGAAUACUGAUCACCGAUUUACUACAAAGAUCAGGAUAGAGAAAGAAAAGCAUGUGGAUCUGCUCUUGUCCCCUGCUGCAGUAUCAGACUCUGCUGUGUAUUACUGUGCUCUGACGUCCAUGACCACAGUGACUGAAAACACACAAGCACUGAACAAGAACCUGCCUGUAUAAAGAAACAUGGUGCUACAGUAUGUAUCAGUAAAUAUGUUUUUUUGACUUAAUAAUAGGAGAACUACUGUAAAUCUUGUUUUCCUAGAGUGUAUAAUGCCAU
Non-coding RNA from Danio rerio (zebrafish), 496 nucleotides. NCBI's taxonomy places the organism in Eukaryota, Metazoa, Chordata, Actinopteri, Cypriniformes, Danionidae. The record is from the annotation of a RefSeq genome assembly.